This 76-nucleotide transfer RNA is filed under the name Rattus norvegicus (Norway rat). Lineage: Eukaryota; Metazoa; Chordata; Mammalia; Rodentia; Muridae. The record is from RNAcentral.
GGGGUUGGGGAUUUAGCUCAGUGGUAGAGCGCUUGCCUAGCAAGCGCAAGGCCCUGGGUUCGGUCCUCAGCUCCGA